GUGCUUGCUUCAGCAGCACAUAUACUAAAAUUGAAACGAUACAGAAAAGAUUAGCAUGGCCCCUACGCAAGAAU
Molecule: small nuclear RNA, 74 nt
Filed under: Suricata suricatta (meerkat)
Lineage: Eukaryota; Metazoa; Chordata; Mammalia; Carnivora; Herpestidae
Source: RNAcentral